This 308-nucleotide unclassified non-coding RNA is filed under the name Spiroplasma cantharicola. RNAcentral's name for it is "16S-23S ribosomal RNA intergenic spacer". The record is from RNAcentral. Lineage: Bacteria; Bacillati; Mycoplasmatota; Mollicutes; Entomoplasmatales; Spiroplasmataceae.
CUAUGGAGUAUUCGUAGAUUAAGAAAAAAUAAGCUGAGUGAAACGAUAAAACAGCUUUUGAUUAUAUCUCGUUCUAUCUAGUUUUCAGAGAUUGUUUUUUAGGGCCAUUUAGGCCCGAAAGCAAUUUCUGAAAAGAAAAUCGUUCUUUGAAAACUGAAUAUUAGAUGAAAAUAGACAUUUUAUUUUUCUUACGUUUAUAUACAAUAUAAAACGUAUUUAGUAACUUAAUUUAGAUUAAUACUAAGAAAACUAAAAUUUCAUUAAUUUUAUAGAUUAUCUAUAUAUGCAAUAGGUUUUUCUUUAGAAAG